AUACUGGUGCCUCACAUGCAGCUUAACCGAAAAGGGUAUUUCCUCCCUUCAGAGAAAGCUCCCUAGUCUGGCGCGGGGUGCUUUUUACUUUACGUUGUUGCAAGUAGAAGUUCCUUCAGUCUCCUCCCCUGGGAGCCACAGCGCUAAGGGGAAACUUCGACCCUGGAAGGAACGAGAAUAAAUAUCUAAAUACCGACGCAGGGAUCCGCUGCUGGGGCAGACAUCUGAACUUCGGGAUCCGGAGGCGAUCCAGGAGGCAAGAGGUAGGCCAUUUUUAAUUGAAGGAAGCUGCCUCUGCGUGGGAGUGGCAGGAGGAGUAAGAAAACCACAUGGAAGACUCCCAGGAUUUAAAUGAACAAUCAGUAAG
This 367-nucleotide long non-coding RNA is filed under the name Sus scrofa (pig). RNAcentral's name for it is "lncRNA (ENSSSCG00040046566.1)". Lineage: Eukaryota; Metazoa; Chordata; Mammalia; Artiodactyla; Suidae. The record is from RNAcentral.